GUCAGAUGAUUUGAAUCUUACUCCUGACGCUCUGUGAGGACCCAACUUUUCUAUAGCAUGUUAGAGUUCUGAUGGCA
RNAcentral lists this small nucleolar RNA (77 nucleotides) under Phascolarctos cinereus (koala). RNAcentral describes it as "Small nucleolar RNA SNORD28 (ENSPCIG00000018711.2)". It matches the Rfam family "Small nucleolar RNA SNORD28". From Rfam's summary of the family: U28 is a member of the C/D class of snoRNA which contain the C (UGAUGA) and D (CUGA) box motifs. U28 is encoded within the U22 snoRNA host gene (UHG) in mammals and is thought to act as a 2'-O-ribose methylation guide for ribosomal RNA. The record is from Rfam by way of RNAcentral. Lineage: Eukaryota; Metazoa; Chordata; Mammalia; Diprotodontia; Phascolarctidae.